AGUUUGAUCAUGGCUCAGGACGAACGCUGGCGGCGUGCUUAACACAUGCAAGUCGAACGGAAAGGCCCUUCGGGGUACUCGAGUGGCGAACGGGUGAGUAACACGUGGGUGAUCUGCCCUGCACUCUGGGAUAAGCCUGGGAAACUGGGUCUAAUACCGGAUAGGACCACACACUUCAUGGUGAGUGGUGCAAAGCUUUUGCGGUGUGGGAUGAGCCCGCGGCCUAUCAGCUUGUUGGUGGGGUAAUGGCCCACCAAGGCGACGACGGGUAGCCGGCCUGAGAGGGUGACCGGCCACACUGGGACUGAGAUACGGCCCAGGCUCCUACGGGAGGCAGCAGUGGGGAAUAUUGCACAAUGGGCGCAAGCCUGAUGCAGCGACGCCGCGUGAGGGAUGACGGCCUUCGGGUUGUAAACCUCUUUCAGUAGGGACGAAGCGAAAGUGACGGUACCUACAGAAGAAGGACCGGCCAACUACGUGCCAGCAGCCGCGGUAAUACGUAGGGUCCGAGCGUUGUCCGGAAUUACUGGGCGUAAAGAGCUCGUAGGUGGUUUGUCGCGUUGUUCGUGAAAACUCACAGCUUAACUGUGGGCGUGCGGGCGAUACGGGCAGACUAGAGUACUGCAGGGGAGACUGGAAUUCCUGGUGUAGCGGUGGAAUGCGCAGAUAUCAGGAGGAACACCGGUGGCGAAGGCGGGUCUCUGGGCAGUAACUGACGCUGAGGAGCGAAAGCGUGGGUAGCGAACAGGAUUAGAUACCCUGGUAGUCCACGCCGUAAACGGUGGGUACUAGGUGUGGGUUUCCUUCCUUGGGAUCCGUGCCGUAGCUAACGCAUUAAGUACCCCGCCUGGGGAGUACGGUCGCAAGACUAAAACUCAAAGGAAUUGACGGGGGCCCGCACAAGCGGCGGAGCAUGUGGAUUAAUUCGAUGCAACGCGAAGAACCUUACCUGGGUUUGACAUGCGCAGGACGUAUCUAGAGAUAGGUAUUCCCUUGUGGCCUGCGUGCAGGUGGUGCAUGGCUGUCGUCAGCUCGUGUCGUGAGAUGUUGGGUUAAGUCCCGCAACGAGCGCAACCCUUGUCCUAUGUUGCCAGCGGGUAAUGCCGGGGACUCGUAGGAGACUGCCGGGGUCAACUCGGAGGAAGGUGGGGAUGACGUCAAGUCAUCAUGCCCCUUAUGUCCAGGGCUUCACACAUGCUACAAUGGCCAGUACAGAGGGCUGCGAAGCCGCAAGGUGGAGCGAAUCCCUUAAAGCUGGUCUCAGUUCGGAUUGGGGUCUGCAACUCGACCCCAUGAAGUCGGAGUCGCUAGUAAUCGCAGAUCAGCAACGCUGCGGUGAAUACGUUCCCGGGCCUUGUACACACCGCCCGUCACGUCAUGAAAGUCGGUAACACCCGAAGCCAGUGGCCUAACCUUUUGGAGGGAGCUGUCGAAGGUGGGAUCGGCGAUUGGGACGAAGUCGUAACAAGGUAACCGUA
RNAcentral lists this ribosomal RNA (1478 nucleotides) under uncultured Mycobacterium sp. RNAcentral describes it as "bacterial SSU rRNA". It matches the Rfam family "Bacterial small subunit ribosomal RNA". Lineage: Bacteria; Bacillati; Actinomycetota; Actinomycetes; Mycobacteriales; Mycobacteriaceae. The record is from RNAcentral.